This 73-nucleotide transfer RNA is filed under the name Stegodyphus mimosarum. It matches the Rfam family "tRNA". Rfam says of the family: Transfer RNA (tRNA) molecules are approximately 80 nucleotides in length. Their secondary structure includes four short double-helical elements and three loops (D, anti-codon, and T loops). Further hydrogen bonds mediate the characteristic L-shaped molecular structure. tRNAs have two regions of fundamental functional importance: the anti-codon, which is responsible for specific mRNA codon recognition, and the 3' end, to which the tRNAs corresponding amino acid is attached (by aminoacyl-tRNA synthetases). tRNAs cope with the degeneracy of the genetic code in two manners: having more than one tRNA (with a specific anti-codon) for a particular amino acid; and 'wobble' base-pairing, i.e. permitting non-standard base-pairing at the 3rd anti-codon position. The record is from Rfam by way of RNAcentral. Lineage: Eukaryota; Metazoa; Arthropoda; Arachnida; Araneae; Eresidae.
GCCUUCGUGGUGUAGUGGUCAGCACACUCGGCGCGUAUUCGAGAGGUCCAUGGUUCGAGUCCCAGCGAAGGCA